This 298-nucleotide unclassified non-coding RNA is filed under the name plant metagenome. RNAcentral's name for it is "partial contains 5.8S ribosomal RNA, internal transcribed spacer 2, and large subunit ribosomal RNA". The stretch from base 1 to 105 matches the Rfam family "5.8S ribosomal RNA", at positions 50 to 154 of the family's 154-position model. The record is from RNAcentral.
GAAAUGCGAUAAGUAAUGUGAAUUGCAGAAUUCAGUGAAUCAUCGAAUCUUUGAACGCACAUUGCGCCCCCUGGUAUUCCGGAGGGCAUACCUGUUCGAGCGUCAUUUCACCACUCAAGCCUCGCUUGGUAUUGGGCAACGCGGUCCGCCGCGUGCCUCAAAUCGACCGGCUGGGUCUUCUGUCCCCUAAGCGUUGUGGAAACUAUUCGCUAAAGGGUGUUCGGGAGGCUACGCCGUAAAACAACCCCAUUUCUAAGGUUGACCUCGGAUCAGGUAGGGAUACCCGCUGAACUUAAGC